CACCCUACCUACACCGACAGUUAUUUCCUUUGCCAACAGAGAAAUUGUUGCUAAGCUGAUAUGCAGUCAAAACAAUACAUAUUCAACUAUUAUCCUCACCUAGAAGCAGGUUCAAGAUGAACACAUACUGCACCGCAAUGAAAAUAUGUUCAGAAUCAUGCAUAUACAUUGAACACCAGUAGAAAAACACAUCAAUCUUGACAAAGCAUAGUUUUGGCCAUCUUCACAAUCACCCAAAACACACAAGUUACAAAAAGAUGGGACUAUUUGCUAGUAUGAGAGACUUCAACUAAGAUGGUCCAAAACACACAAGUCUGUAUCUACGUUCACAAAGUGCAAGCUCUGAAACACCAAAUGGUCUACAACACACGUAAUAUCCAUGUUUACAGGUUGGUUGGUCCAUAAACGCUGCAAAGUCAUCACAUCCAUGUGCACCAGUUGGGUAAGUACAUGAAAACAGUUUGCACACAUUUGUCAGGAAAGUGGAAUCGGCGCAAGUUGUUCAAAAGCUAAUAUGUGGAUUAACACAGAUUUGAUCAAUAAAUUCUCAUGAUAACAUAGUUAACAAUAUAGUUUGUACAAAUGUUAUAAUUAGCUCACAUGCUAUUAUAUAGAACUGUAUUCCAGUGCUUGCAGUCUUAUCAACAAUGAAUGCAUUGACCAUUUGAAACAAAGAUCCUACAACCCAGUAGCUUAGUUUAUAGACUGUUACAUAAGAAUUCACUAAAGAAAAGAUAGUGUAUUUCCCAACCUCCCUCGAUUUUUCAUGAUUAAGAGCUACAUAACCAUGGAUAAAAAAAAGGAAACUACAACACAUGUACACAGGCAAUUUAGUGAAACACAUAGGCCAGCAACCUUGUAAAGCGACAUUUUAGAAACUGUUCUUAUGCAAUAACAUGUGAGCUAAUUACUACUGAAACAAAAAAUGUACCUAAUAGAUGAGGUAACCGGCGAGGAAGCCCUGCAUUCGCCACCGGUUGCCCACUGCAAGUCGUGGCCCUGGUUCCUUGUGAGGUCGCCUUCCAUCCACCAUUCGCUUUACGUGAAGUGGGCAACCAUCCGUUCUCCGCCCAUUGCCUGAGCUGCAUGCUGGUGGUUGUGGUUCUCGGCUAUUAUCGGCAAGACUAGAUGGGUUAGUAACUUGUUUCUUAGUGAUUGGCAUUGUAAUGAUGACAACUGUAUUUAACUGCACUAGUUGCAUGUAUUUUUUACUCUAACUAUGUGCAGUUGACAUAGGCAUAUCAAGGUGGAACACUGAAUUUAAGCAUAAAAAGUACAUGACUAAGCAAUAUAUAUUGCGCAAGUUCAAAAGUUCAUGCUUAAAUGUGCAAAGUGUUCAUAAGUACAGGACUGAGAAAAUAAGGGACUACAAGACAGGAGACUACACCAGCUAUUCCCUUGUUGUAUCUUAAUAAACUAUCUUAUGCUCAGAUAGCAGUCAGGAUUCAACAAGUCCUCUGAGCAGUAAAGUGAACCAUACAAGUUAUUUAUUUAUAUGGUUGAACGUUGAAGGAGUGGUGGUGAGCUUCAGGGAUUAUGGCUAGUCAAGCAAUGUAUGCUGACAAUUCGCUAUCGCACACACUCCAAUUCUAAUAGUACAAUUUCUCAAAUGUACACAGAAAAUCAAGUAGAUAGAACAUCUCAGGCUUCAGGUUGCAGAUUACAGUUAACACCUCAAAUGUCCACAGUAUUUCAACUUGGUAGAAAAGGGUAAACAUAAUUACAUAAUAUCCUGAUAAUUCUAGUUUGGUUCACAAUUGCCAUUCCAUUCCAAAGUAAGCGCAAGCUAAGUGUAACAUCAUAGAUUGAAAUGGUCGAUUACAGUCAACAAACAAAACCUUUCGUAAGGACUGGA
This 1855-nucleotide long non-coding RNA is filed under the name Triticum aestivum (bread wheat). RNAcentral's name for it is "long non-coding RNA (TAES_LNC004898)". The record is from RNAcentral. Lineage: Eukaryota; Viridiplantae; Streptophyta; Magnoliopsida; Poales; Poaceae.